Molecule: ribosomal RNA, 556 nt
Filed under: Escherichia coli
Lineage: Bacteria; Pseudomonadati; Pseudomonadota; Gammaproteobacteria; Enterobacterales; Enterobacteriaceae
Description: bacterial SSU rRNA
Rfam family: Bacterial small subunit ribosomal RNA
Source: RNAcentral
AAAUUGAAGAGUUUGAUCAUGGCUCAGAUUGAACGCUGGCGGCAGGCCUAACACAUGCAAGUCGAACGGUAACAGGAAACAGCUUGCUGUUUCGCUGACGAGUGGCGGACGGGUGAGUAAUGUCUGGGAAACUGCCUGAUGGAGGGGGAUAACUACUGGAAACGGUAGCUAAUACCGCAUAACGUCGCAAGACCAAAGAGGGGGACCUUCGGGCCUCUUGCCAUCGGAUGUGCCCAGAUGGGAUUAGCUAGUAGGUGGGGUAACGGCUCACCUAGGCGACGAUCCCUAGCUGGUCUGAGAGGAUGACCAGCCACACUGGAACUGAGACACGGUCCAGACUCCUACGGGAGGCAGCAGUGGGGAAUAUUGCACAAUGGGCGCAAGCCUGAUGCAGCCAUGCCGCGUGUAUGAAGAAGGCCUUCGGGUUGUAAAGUACUUUCAGCGGGGAGGAAGGGAGUAAAGUUAAUACCUUUGCUCAUUGACGUUACCCGCAGAAGAAGCACCGGCUAACUCCGUGCCAGCAGCCGCGGUAAUACGGAGGGUGCAAGCGUUAAUC